CCUCCCAGCAGUCCUCAUCUUAGGAGGUGGCUAAACUCUGGAGCUGCCUGGCCUUGAAUUCCAGCCUCCGAACACAGUGCCGCGUAUAUCACAGGCUCGGUGCGCGCACGAGAUGCACGAAUACGCGAAAAGUAACUAGAACAGGCGUGACACGAAGAAGUGCUCGCAGCCAGGCCGUCCCCCUCCGAGCAGAAGGCUAGAAGAGGGCUCCGGAAAACUGACUGGAGGUCAAAGGUAAGACUUGAUGAUAUUCACGUUGAGGGUCCCCAAGAAAACCGCCCAGCCAGGCCACCUCCAGGGGACAACAGUGGAGCCAAGUCCCAUCCACCGGUGCAGUUUCCAAACAGCUGCAUGGUCCCCACCCUCAAGUACAGCAAAGAGCCCAGGGCUACCGGACCAAAACAAACAAAUGGAAAACAAACAAACAACACAGCUAAAUGAUUCAGAGAAAAGAGACCUUCACGCAAAGUAGUAUUACCAUUUUCAGAGAGCUAAGUGAAGAGAGUGUAUCCACGAAACAAGAACAUGAUGCUACAAAAGAGGACUGUACUUCAAAGAGGGAGCCAGACACCACGUGUGUCCUGAAGGAAGACACACGACCAGGGUGAAGGGAUCAAAUCAAACUCAUGUUACUGAGUCUCUAGACCCAACCUCCAAUGAAUUUACAGGAAUUCCUUAAACUCCACCACAGAGAGACACGGUCACCAAGAUCUAGACAGUGAAAAAUUCUACAUGACAAGUAAAUGGCAAGAGAAAAUAAGAAGAUGGAAAGGGAAUGUAUAGAUUAAAAAGAGACUUAAAAGAACAGCGCCUGGGGGCGCCUGGGUGGCUCAGUCAGUUGAGCAUCUGACUCUUGAUUUCGGCUCAGGUCAUGAUCUCACAGUUUGUGAGAUCGAGCCCCACGUCAGGCUCUGUGCUGACAGUGCAGAGCCUGCUUGGGAUUCUCUCUCUCCCUCUCUCUCUGCCCCUCCCCUUCGUGUGUGCUCCCUCUCUCUCUCUGAAAAGAAACAUUUCAAAAAAAUAAGAAGACAAAAUUGAGACACUCUCCCAGAACGUAGGGCAAAACCGAAGUCUUGGAAAGCUGGACAGCAUUUAAAAAUGGAGAGGACCAGUCCAGGAGGGCCAGAAAGAAGCAAGAAAACAUUCUAACAUGAACGUGUCCACUCCGUGAGGGAAGGGACUUCUGUCUGCUCUCUUCACUGGUGUAUCCAUCCCCUAGUGCUUACAACAGUGGCAGGAAGCCUCAAAAACUGUCUGUUCAUUAAAAAGAAAAUAGGGGGAAAUAGUUCAAGAAAACUUCAAACUGCAGGAACAUCUUCCCAGGCUGAAGGGGCAGGCUGAAUGUCCAGCACAAUAAAUGAACAGAGUCCCGUCAAAGCACAAUACUGUGAAAUUUCAGAACUGGGGACAAAGAAAAGGCACUACAAGAUUCCAGUGAGAAAAAAACAGGACAUUGAGAGACUUCAGAAUCAGAAUAGCUCUGGGUAUCUCAGUAACCCCCUGGGUAAUAACAGGGCAAGCCUUCCAAGUUUUGCAGGAAGCUUAGUUCUAGUCUAGAAUUACCUGCACACAUCAAACUACCAAAUGUGAAAGUCGAAUAAAGACAUUUUCAGACACUCAGUCUCAAAAAGUUUACCUCCGCUGUAUCCCUUUCCAGGGAUCUAUGGAGGCCACGUUCAUGAAAUAAGAUAGUAAAACAAGAAAGAAAAAAAAAAAAAA
Long non-coding RNA from Acinonyx jubatus (cheetah), 1719 nucleotides. RefSeq lists it as uncharacterized. NCBI's taxonomy places the organism in Eukaryota, Metazoa, Chordata, Mammalia, Carnivora, Felidae. The record is from RefSeq and is a predicted model, not a curated record. The transcript is spliced from 2 exons.